This is a non-coding RNA of Camellia sinensis, 1508 nucleotides long. The record is from RefSeq and is a predicted model, not a curated record. NCBI's taxonomy places the organism in Eukaryota, Viridiplantae, Streptophyta, Magnoliopsida, Ericales, Theaceae.
GUUGUACAAUCUGAUAAACCACUUAAGCUUGUUUGGGGAAAAUUUCUAAAUGAGGUUAUCUUGGUUGUUUCUUUUACGCAUGAUGAUUAAGUUCUACCUAAAGCUUUGGUGAUUACAUUAAUGGAGGGAUAGUUGAAAGGUAGAAGAUAUAUUUCUUUAUGGGUUUGAGUGUAACACAUGCAUUUAGUACUAGUAAACAGAGUUUUAAUCUCAAUUUUCAUGUUAAGAAGCCUAAAAAUUGGUAUGCCUGAGGAAUAGAUGUACUCUGGUUUUGUUGGCUUAUAAUAAUUCACUUUACCCAUAAAUAAAUAUCAAAAAAAAAUAAGCCUAAAAAUUUAAAUUUUCCUGUGAAAUUGUUUUGAAGUGUGAAGACUUAAUCAUAUCAGGGAGCUAAUUAAAUGAUCUUGAUAGAUUUUUGUGCUUGCUUUCAUGCUUAUAUAUGUGUGUAUAUAUAUAAUUAUAUAAACAAGUAGUUGAAUGGAAAGAUUUAUGUAGCAAAAAAUUAUGCCUUAACAAGCUGAGCUGAUUAUAGAAUAUAGUUAUUUAAUUUUUAGACGAGGUAAUUCGCUUUCAGUUGCAUUUGUUUCUAAGGGAAUCAUUUAGAGGGAGAAGAAAAUGCACAUGUUUCAACGUAUUAAAUUUAAGCUUUCCUAAUUAUUGAUGUAUGCAUUAAGCUUGAACUUUUUUUCAAAAGAAUUUGAAGUUAAACUUGUUUUCCAUUCAUGUAUAGAUAGUAUAUUCUAUUGUCUGAAGCCACUCUUAUGUUCUAUUUACAAGGAAAAGGAUUUUUGUGCACUAAAUUGAGAUUUGGAAUAGCAAGUAACGACAUUGCCUUCGAAAUUAUUUGCAAGGAGUAUAGAGCGUAUAGUGGUAUACUAUUAACUACACUGUUGGAUGCAUGACCUAUGUUCAAAGUUGGUUAGAACAAAGUUCGUUUUCAAUGCAAAAGUCAAAUGACAAUGGAGAUCUAGAAAGUUUGGUGCUACUUUUAAAAUGUUUGAAAAUUAUGUGGAGAAUCAGAGUCAUUUGCUUGAAAUGAAAGGGAACCUUAACCAUCAAGGUUCUCCCCGAACUUUCACAAAACUCAUUAUAAGUGUCAUCAACAUACUCUUAGGUUUCAAAAGUCAGAGAAAAAACAAAGCAAGAAGAUACAAAGUAUCAUAGUGUUGAAGGCAGAAAGGUACCAUGGGAAAUUUCGAGAGUGGAGAAAGUUCAGAUUCUGAUGGACAAGCUUCUUGAUUGGAGAUUAGAGAUGGACAUGUUUGGUAAUCUGGAGAGCAAGAGCUUGCUCAUUUCGUAUUUUUGUUAAUAUUACCUUACAUGUAUUUUGGUUGCAUUGUAAAGUUUAUAUUUUUGUAUAUGGAGACAUGUUUGGUGAUCUGCAUGUAACAACCCUCGUCACUGUUUACCGAGUAACCACCGAUUACCGUUAAACUAAAACUGAUUAUGACUGAUAAUUGAACUGAAUAAAAUACUGAACUGACUGACUGAAAUUUGAAACUGAAAUG